GAGGGUGUAGCUCAGUGGCAGAGUGCAUGCUUAGCAUGCAUGAUGUCCUGGGUUCAACCCCCAGUACCUCUA
RNAcentral lists this transfer RNA (72 nucleotides) under Camelus bactrianus (Bactrian camel). It matches the Rfam family "tRNA". From Rfam's summary of the family: Transfer RNA (tRNA) molecules are approximately 80 nucleotides in length. The record is from Rfam by way of RNAcentral. Lineage: Eukaryota; Metazoa; Chordata; Mammalia; Artiodactyla; Camelidae. RNAcentral also lists the same sequence under 3 other names.